GAGAGAAAACUCCCGCAAAUCCUCGUAAUCCACGUGCUAAGAUGCGCCACCUUGACAUUCUUUGCAUUACUACGCACCUCCUCCUCCCUCUUUUUUUAAAAUCACACACACUCGCUCUAAUCUAUCUCUCUGAGUACUGUUUUCGUGUUCUAAUAGUCUAAGCAGAAAGCUCUGCCUCUCUUUUUUUGUGGGAAAAAAAAUCUUUAUUGUGUGUAUUCUACUUUUUAAUUUUUCUUUCAACAGUUUAAAGCUGCAACGAAAUCGCCAUAUACAGAAAGAGUGUGCGCAGGAUAAGAGCUUACACACUCUUUCUAGUUUGAACACAUUAUAGGAGAUUAGUAGAGUUUCAGAUAUAGGUAAAAGGAGGGAGCUUUUGAGGGAGGAGAGGGAAAAGAAGAAGGGAAUCACAGAGGUGAUGAUGAUAUAUGGAGGGGGUUCAUUGAAAGGUCGGUUUCUUUAAGGGUGAUAAAAACAAGCACUUGAUAAUAACCAAGGCAUACAAAUAGAGGGAGAGAUAAAGAGAGAGGAGGAGACCCACUCCCCUGCUUCGUUUCGCGUGCUUUGAUGCAAAAUGAUGGGUUUUCGUUCUUGUUAUAUCAAAAGGCCCACCUAAAAAAGAUUUCCCUAAGUUGCCUUUUUGCAGGUUGUGUUCCUUGAUUUUGGACUCCCUGAAGGGGGAGGGCCAGAGGCUUCUCGUUGCAUUGGUCUUUUUGGGUCACCCUCAGAUUCACAUGACAUGGUUUAAUCAAUCGUUCUUUUCCUUUUCUUCCUUUGGAGAAACGCAUAUGUGAUUUCAAGGGGGAGGUUUUUUAUUGGCGGGUGAGGUUGUUUUAAGUUGCAAUUGUGGGUUUUGGGUAGGGACGUGAAGAUGGGGUUUUCUUCUCAUUUCUUCUGGUUGGAGUAGAGGGUGUACGCAUUUCAAACAGAAGCACAUGAUGAUGGGUUCUGUUGAAGAGAAAAUCAAAGCAGGAGGCUUGGUUGGUGGAAUACAGACCAAUCUGCUCGAGGAAAUGAAGUUGUUAAAAGAAAUUCAGGACCAUUCUGGGACUCGCAAGACUAUAAACUCGGAGCUGUGGUACGCAUGUGCUGGUCCACUUGUUUCCUUGCCUCAGGUUGGAAGUCUUGUGUAUUAUUUUCCUCAAGGACACAGCGAACAGGUGGCAGUUUCCACUAAAAGAACAGCAACAUCACAAAUUCCUAACUACCCAAAUCUCCCUUCCCAGUUGCUUUGCCAAGUUCACAAUGUUGCCCUACAUGCAGACAAAGAUACGGACGAGAUCUAUGCUCAAAUGAGUCUUCAACCAGUGAACUCUGAAAAGGAUGUCUUCCCCAUACCAGAUUUUGGACUAAAGCCCAAUAAACAUCCAAGUGAAUUUUUCUGCAAAACCUUGACAGCAAGUGAUACAAGUACACAUGGUGGAUUCUCAGUGCCGCGAAGGGCAGCAGAAAAGCUUUUUCCUGCAUUGGAUUACACCAUGCAACCACCAACUCAAGAGCUUGUUGUCAGAGACUUGCAUGAUAAUACCUGGACAUUUCGCCAUAUAUAUCGCGGGCAACCUAAGCGGCACCUUCUUACAACUGGGUGGAGCAUAUUUGUUGGUACAAAAAGGCUUAAAGCAGGUGACUCUGUUCUGUUUAUCAGGGAUGAGAAGUCACAGUUAUUGGUGGGUGUGAGGCGUGCAAAUCGUCAACAAACAAUGCUGCCAUCAUCAGUUCUAUCUGCUGAUAGUAUGCAUAUUGGUGUCCUUGCUGCUGCAGCUCAUGCUGCUGCCAAUCGGAGCCCAUUCACCAUUUUUUACAAUCCAAGGGCAUGCCCCUCGGAGUUUGUCAUUCCUUUAGCUAAAUACCGAAAAGCUGUGUAUGGGACUCAAGUUUCAGUUGGUAUGAGGUUUGGAAUGAUGUUUGAAACAGAGGAGUCAGGCAAACGCAGAUAUAUGGGUACCAUAGUUGGUAUUAGUGACUUAGAUCCACUGAGAUGGCCCAGUUCCAAAUGGCGAAAUCUUCAGGUAGAGUGGGAUGAGCCAGGGUGUUCUGAUAAGCAGAAUAGGGUAAGUUCAUGGGAAAUUGAGACUCCUGAAAGCCUCUUCAUUUUUCCUUCUCUGACUUCCAGUCUCAAACGGCCCUUGCAUUCAGGAUUUUUAGGAGGAGAAACUGAAUGGGGGAACCUGAUGAAAAGACCCCUUAUUUGGAAUGGAAAUGGGAAUUUUCCAUAUUCAUCAAUUCCAAAUCUGUGUUCUGAGCAAUUAUUUAAGAUGCUAAUGAAACCUCAAGUUGUUAACCAUCCUGGAGCUGGAAUGUAUGAGUCUGCUCUCCCAGAAGUCUCUGCUUCCAAGGGUGCUUCUUUAGAUGAUGUUAAGGCCAUGCAGGGAACGGUCAAUCAGAUGCCUCAGGCUAACCAAUCAGUAGCUAUGUCAGUUGAAAAACAAACACCAGAUGGAAUUAGUAUAGAAAAGAUAAAUUCUGAACUUGACCAUUCUACAGAUCAGUUAAGCCAGGUAACCUCAACCGGAGAAUGCAAUGAGGACAAACCACCCUCAAGUCGUACAAAUCUGCAGAACUGUGGUAACCAGCUGGAAUUUCAAAACCAGAACCAGGCUCUAUUGCAUGCACAAAGCAGUCUCUGGCCUGUACAACCAUUGUUGGAGCCUUCUGUCAUGCACCCCCAGCAAAUUAAUAUACCCCAAGCUGAUUCUAAUACCCUAAAUGGUUCACUGCCUUUCCAAGAUGCUGAUGGAUGGAUUUCAAACCCCCCUUCUUGCAUCUCUCUCCCUGGGAUUUAUGGAUCAUCAGGGGCUUUGUCGAUGUUUGGGCUGCAAGAACAGUCAGCCAUACUCCCAGACCCCUCUAUACCUUUAAUGAAUCAGGAUUUGUGGGAUCAGCAACUGAACAAUUUGAGAUUUUUACCCCCAGCUAGCCAACUCGUUCCUUUAGCUCAGCAAGAACCCUGUAGUCUUAAUUCAUGUGGAACAAAAGAUUUAUCCGAUGAGAGUAAUGAUCAAAGUGGGAUUUAUGGCUCUCUUAAUUUUGAUGUUGGCAAUGGGGGUAGUGCCGUAAUUGAUCCUUCGGUGUCAAAUGCCAUUUUGGACGAUCUCUGUACGUCAAAGGAUGUUGAUUUUCAGAAUCCUUCAAAUUGUCUGCUUGGCAACUUUAACUCGAGCCAGGAUGUUCAGUCUCAGAUUACUUCAGCAAGCCUGGCAGACUCGCAAGCUUUCUCACAGCAGGACUUUCCAGACAGCUCAGGUGGCACACCUUCUAGCAAUUUGGAUUUUGAGAAGGGCAAUUAUAUGCAGAAUAACUCAUGGCAGCAAGUUGCUCCACGAGUGCGAACAUACACAAAGGUUCAAAAGGCCGGCUCAGUUGGUAGAUCAAUAGAUGUCUCAAGUUUUAAAAACUAUGAAGAAUUAUGUUCUGCAAUUGAAUGCAUGUUCGGACUUGAGGGGCUGCUUAAUAAUCCAAGAGAGUCUGGGUGGAAGCUGGUAUACGUUGACUACGAGAAUGAUGUUCUACUUAUUGGAGAUGAUCCUUGGGAGGAAUUUGUUGGCUGUGUACGUUGCAUAAGGAUUCUGUCACCUUCAGAAGUUCAGCAGAUGAGCGAGGAGGGAAUGAAGCUUCUUAACAACCCUAAUAUCCAGGGCCUCGCUGCUUCCAUUACAGAAGGUGGCCGUGCUUGAGAUUGUGCUUGACAUUGAACAAUGGCGUUACCCAAAGCAACUUCUUUGAAUGGUGUAACAUCUCGAUCGACUCUUGCCAAGUUUACGAUUUACUGAUACCACAGUGACGGUGAGUGAUGUGGGCACUACUGUGUUAGAAUGGCUUUAGAUGUAAUCUAUGAAAUAUGAGAUGACAUUUGUUCACGUCAUGCAUGAGAUACUUUAUAAUAUCGUGUUGUACAAGCCCUUUUAGUUUGCUAUGUGGUGGUAAUUACAUAAUGGAUUUUUUUUCUCUUAGGUCCGCU
RNAcentral lists this unclassified non-coding RNA (3955 nucleotides) under Hevea brasiliensis (rubber tree). The record is from RNAcentral. Lineage: Eukaryota; Viridiplantae; Streptophyta; Magnoliopsida; Malpighiales; Euphorbiaceae.